This is a long non-coding RNA of Benincasa hispida (wax gourd), 1012 nucleotides long. RefSeq lists it as uncharacterized. The record is from RefSeq and is a predicted model, not a curated record. NCBI's taxonomy places the organism in Eukaryota, Viridiplantae, Streptophyta, Magnoliopsida, Cucurbitales, Cucurbitaceae.
UAAUCGACAUAUUUUAAAUAUCAGAAAAAAAAAUCCCAAACCCUUCUUCUUGCGCCUUCACGAUUUUGCAGCUCCCAUAAUCUCAAACCCUCUUGUGCGUUCGAUUUCUCAGAUUCAACUCCGAUGAAUCUUAGAAAUCGUUCGACUCCUUCAAUGAAGCUUGGAAAUCGUUCGACUUUAGUGAAUCUUCCAAAUCGUUCGACUCCGGUGAAGCUUCCAAAACGUUUGACUUUGGUGAAGCUUCCAAGACGUUCGACUUCGACGCAGUGGUAAUCUUCCCUUCUCUUCUGCAACUUCAAAAAAGCAUCAUAGAAUUGGAAGAUAGAAAGCAAAAAGAAGUCUGCAAUUCCAGGUACAAUAGAAGGGAUGAGUUUGGAGUUUAACCACAUGGUUGUUUUGCCCAACUGCAACCGUUCUUUGUGCUUAAAAUGUUAUCGAAACUGUGUCCUUUACAAGUGGGAAUUGUCGAAUGUGGGUAUUAUGUUAUAAGAUAUAUGCAAAAAAAUCGUGGCUAAAGAGAAGAAUAUUAUCACAGAUGCAGUAUGUCUUUAAACUACUUAUAUAUAUUGUAACAUUAUAAAUAGUGUAAAUAAUAAAUAAAUAUAUAUUUGACUUUUUAUGUUUUAUGGAUUGAUACGAGGAGCUCGUACUCGCAACUUGAAUUGGAUGAAGUACACGUGGAAUGGGCUGAAUAUUUAGGUCGCUAUAUCUGAUGGGCUUCCUAUAAAUUUUGUGUAUGUGGCUACAUGGGAAUGCCCAAAACUUUUUUUUGUGUAAAUGUUUUGUUAAGCCAUUAUAGGUUGUAUACUUCAAAGAAAUGUGUGGUGGAGGAUAGAAUUUUAGUCUUGUAAUUUUUGGAAUACAUUGCACAUAUAGAUUGGUCUUACAAUUUUGGAAUUAUCAUGUAUUGGGAUGGGUUGAUAGAGUAUAUACUAUUGUACGAUUAAUUUUGUAAAUUUUGGAAUCGUUCAUAUACAUGGAAGGUAAUAGAAGAAUGGAAUUGUUUGUUUUA